This 630-nucleotide long non-coding RNA is filed under the name Lactuca sativa (garden lettuce). RNAcentral's name for it is "long non-coding RNA (LSAT_LNC000060)". Lineage: Eukaryota; Viridiplantae; Streptophyta; Magnoliopsida; Asterales; Asteraceae. The record is from RNAcentral.
UUUUCGCCAACUUCAUCACCGGGCUAUAGCCCGUCGUCCCCCGGGUACAGCCCAUCAUCUCCGGGAUACAGCCCCACCUCGCCUGGUUAUAGCCCAACCUCACCGGGCUAUAGCCCUACAUCUCCGGGUUACAGUCCCACCUCUCCAACUUACAGCCCAAGUUCACCCGGUUAUAGCCCAACAAGUCCUACCUACUCACCCACUUCACCUAGCUACUCCCCUACCUCACCAAGCUACUCACCCACAUCACCUAGCUACAGCCCUACAUCGCCAGCUUACAGCCCGACCUCUCCGGCUUACAGCCCGACCUCUCCUUCCUACAGCCCGACAUCACCAUCCUACAGCCCAACCUCACCCUCCUACAGCCCAACCUCACCCUCUUACAGCCCGACCUCUCCUUCCUACAGCCCAACAUCACCAUCCUACAGCCCGACCUCCCCUUCCUACAGCCCAACCUCCCCUGCUUACAGCCCAACUUCACCUGGGUACAGUCCUACUUCCCCAAGCUACAGUCCUACUUCUCCAAGUUACAGUCCCACCUCACCAAGUUACAACCCUUCAUCCGCUAAGUACAGCCCCUCGUUGGCUUAUUCUCCUAGUAGUCCAUACAGCCCUACAUCCCCCAACUAC